Molecule: long non-coding RNA, 402 nt
Organism: Hippoglossus stenolepis (Pacific halibut)
Lineage: Eukaryota; Metazoa; Chordata; Actinopteri; Pleuronectiformes; Pleuronectidae
Exons: 3
Source: RefSeq, a predicted model, not a curated record
GGUGUGAUAUGUAUUAUGCAAAAGUAACGUGUGCUCACACCUUUAAAAAAAGACAGUUUCCAUCCCCUGUACGCCUCACCUCGGCGCCCUCUCUCCUGUCUGUGUGAUGAGCAGGGUAAGGCAGAACGGAGAACAGAUUUGUGAGCUACAGGUGGAGAUAGACAGGCCACUGACGCUACUGAAGGAUAAGAAGCGUGAGCUGCAAAGAAAGCUCCAGAGAUUGGCUGACAAAGAUGAACACAACCUGAGGAUGGAUCUGAGAUGUCUUCAGGAGCUGCAGGAGUAAAAAGCACCCUUCCAUACUGCCUCUGAGGCAAAGAGGCUUAGAUUUACCAGCGGAUGUCAUUUUCAUCCAAGCAGACGGGUCAGCAGACAGAAGAAGAGCGACAGGAAGAGAGACAA